GAAACGCGAUAGGUAAUGUGAAUUGCAGAAUUCCGUGAAUCAUCGAAUCUUUGAACGCACAUUGCGCCUUCUGGUAUUCCGGUAGGCAUGCCUGUCUGAGCGUCAGCAAACACACUCAGCUGAAUUAUGUUAUUCGUGCUGGUCUUGGGUAGCGGAUGCCGGUGGUAAAAUACUUCCACCUGCGCCCUCCCUAAACUUGCUGCACGACCGCAAGCCCCUACUAGCCAGGUCAAUGGAGUGGUGUCACAAUCUUCCAGAAAGCCAGCUGGUAACUGCCUCGUGGCGUUAAACGUAAUGUCCUUCGCAGGACUAUGAAGUUUUGACCUCAGAUCAGACAAGGAUACCCGCUGAACUUAA
This 357-nucleotide unclassified non-coding RNA is filed under the name uncultured Orbiliaceae. RNAcentral's name for it is "sequence contains ITS1". The stretch from base 1 to 105 matches the Rfam family "5.8S ribosomal RNA", at positions 50 to 154 of the family's 154-position model. The record is from RNAcentral. Lineage: Eukaryota; Fungi; Ascomycota; Orbiliomycetes; Orbiliales.